Molecule: ribosomal RNA, 465 nt
Filed under: uncultured bacterium
Lineage: Bacteria
Description: partial 16S ribosomal RNA
Rfam family: Bacterial small subunit ribosomal RNA
Source: RNAcentral
GAUGAACGCUGGCGGCGUGCUUAACACAUGCAAGUCGAACGGAAAGGCCCAAGCUUGCUUGGGUACUCGAGUGGCGAACGGGUGAGUAACACGUGGGUGAUCUGCCCUGCACUUCGGGAUAAGCCUGGGAAACUGGGUCUAAUACCGGAUAGGACCACAUUUUGGAUGGUGUGGUGGAAAGUUUUUCGGUGUGGGAUGAGCUCGCGGCCUAUCAGCUUGUUGGUGGGGUAAUGGCCUACCAAGGCGUCGACGGGUAGCCGGCCUGAGAGGGUGUACGGCCAGAUUGGGAGUGAGGUACGGCCCAGACUGCUACGGGAGGCAGCAGUGGGGAGUAGUGCACAAUGGGCGGAAGCCUGAUGCAGCGACGCCGCGUGGGGGAUGACGGCCUUCGGGUUGUAAACUCCUUUCGCUAGGGACGAAGCGCAAGUGACGGUACCUGGAGAAGAAGCACCGGCUAACUACGUG